Molecule: ribosomal RNA, 470 nt
Filed under: uncultured bacterium
Lineage: Bacteria
Description: bacterial SSU rRNA
Rfam family: Bacterial small subunit ribosomal RNA
Source: RNAcentral
GACGCUGGCGGCGUGCCUAACACAUGCAAGUCGAGCGAGGAGAUUCCUUCGGGAUGAUCCUAGCGGCGGACGGGUGAGUAACACGUGGGCAACCUGCCUCAUAGAGAGGAAUAGCCUUCCGAAAGGGAGAUUAAUACCUCAUAACAUUGCAGUUUCGCAUGGAACAGCAAUUAAAGGAGUAAUCCGCUAUGAGAUGGGCCCGCGGCGCAUUAGCUAGUUGGUGAGGUAACGGCUCACCAAGGCGACGAUGCGUAGCCGACCUGAGAGGGUGAUCGGCCACAUUGGGACUGAGACACGGCCCAGACUCCUACGGGAGGCAGCAGUGGGGAAUAUUGCACAAUGGGGGAAACCCUGAUGCAAGCAACGCCGCGUGAGUGAUGACGGCCUUCGGGUUGUAAAGCUCUGUCUUCAGGGACGAUAAUGACGGUACCUGAGGAGGAAGCCACGGCUAACUACGUGCCAGCCGCAGC